UACGUAGGGUGCAAGCGUUGUCCGGAAUUAUUGGGCGUAAAGAGCUCGUAGGCGGUCCGUCACGUCGGCUGUGAAAACCUGGGGCUCAACCCCGGGCCUGCAGCCGAUACGGGCGGACUAGAAUUCGGUAGGGGAGACUGGAAUUCCUGGUGUAGCGGUGAAAUGCGCAGAUAUCAGGAGGAACACCGGUGGCGAAGGCGGGUCUCUGGGCCGAUAUUGACGCUGAGGAGCGAAAGCCAGGGGAGCAAACGGG
Molecule: ribosomal RNA, 253 nt
Filed under: uncultured bacterium
Lineage: Bacteria
Description: partial 16S ribosomal RNA
Rfam family: Bacterial small subunit ribosomal RNA
Source: RNAcentral